RNAcentral lists this ribosomal RNA (497 nucleotides) under uncultured bacterium. Its description in RNAcentral is "partial 16S ribosomal RNA". It matches the Rfam family "Bacterial small subunit ribosomal RNA", at positions 28 to 507 of the family's 1533-position model. The record is from RNAcentral.
GAUGAGCGCUGGCGGCGUGCCUAAUACAUGCAAGUCGAGCGAACAGACGAGGAGCUUGCUCCUCUGACGUUAGCGGCGGACGGGUGAGUAACACGUGGAUAACCUACCUAUAAGACUGGGAUAACUUCGGGAAACCGGAGCUAAUACCGGAUAACAUGUUGAACCGCAUGGUUCAACAGUGAAAGACGGUCUUGCUGUCGCUUAUAGAUGGAUCCGCGCCGCAUUAGCUAGUUGGUAAGGUAACGGCUUACCAAGGCAACGAUGCGUAGCCGACCUGAGAGGGUGAUCGGCCACACUGGAACUGAGACACGGUCCAGACUCCUACGGGAGGCAGCAGUAGGGAAUCUUCCGCAAUGGGCGAAAGCCUGACGGAGCAACGCCGCGUGAGUGAAGAAGGUCUUCGGAUCGUAAAACUCUGUUAUUAGGGAAGAACAAAUGUGUAAGUAACUAUGCACGUCUUGACGGUACCUAAUCAGAAAGCCACGGCUAACUACGUG